RNAcentral lists this ribosomal RNA (504 nucleotides) under uncultured bacterium. Its description in RNAcentral is "partial 16S ribosomal RNA". It matches the Rfam family "Bacterial small subunit ribosomal RNA", at positions 30 to 523 of the family's 1533-position model. The record is from RNAcentral.
AUUGAACGCUGGCGGCAGGCCUAACACAUGCAAGUCGAACGGUAGCACAGAGAGCUUGCUCUCGGGUGACGAGUGGCGGACGGGUGAGUAAUGUCUGGGAAACUGCCCGAUGGAGGGGGAUAACUACUGGAAACGGUAGCUAAUACCGCAUAACGUCGCAAGACCAAAGUGGGGGACCUUCGGGCCUCACACCAUCGGAUGUGCCCAGAUGGGAUUAGCUAGUAGGUGGGAUAAUGGCUCACCUAGGCGACGAUCCCUAGCUGGUCUGAGAGGAUGACCAGCCACACUGGAGCUGGGACACGGUCCAGACUCCUACGGGAGGCAGCAGUGGGGAAUAUUGCACAAUGGGCGAAAGCCUGAUGCAGCCAUGCCGCGUGUAUGAGGAAGGCCUUCGGGUUGUAAAGUACUUUCAGCGGGGAGGAAGGCGGUGAAGUUAAUAGCUUCACCGAUUGACGUUACCCGCAGAAGAAGCACCGGCUAACUCCGUGCCAGCCGCCGCCGUAA